AAAAAAUAGGAGAAAACUUCUGCAAAAACACUGUUGUAUUGGAUCUGCCCAGUUUCUUUUCAUCUUCCAAACAUUCAUAGGUCAAAAUGCUCGAAUUUGCCUAGGUGGUCCCUGAUCGUGUUACUACUUCCUUGAUUUUGAAAGUAUUAGUUUGCUGGGCUAUUUGUUGAUUUGCUGGUUGACUGUGGAGAUCCUGUUGCUGUUGUUUUUCCUUGCUAUUUAAAUAUUGCCGAUUUCCUUUUGUUCCUUUGAUUCAUUCAAUUCCAGGUGCAUACCUUGAAUCUGUCUUGAUGUAGCUUUUGAUUUGGAGAAUGGAAUAAACAUACUCAUGAAUUUGCU
This 339-nucleotide long non-coding RNA is filed under the name Nicotiana benthamiana. RNAcentral's name for it is "long non-coding RNA (NBEN_LNC017864)". The record is from RNAcentral. Lineage: Eukaryota; Viridiplantae; Streptophyta; Magnoliopsida; Solanales; Solanaceae.